This 76-nucleotide transfer RNA is filed under the name Clostridia bacterium. RNAcentral's name for it is "tRNA-Asn". It matches the Rfam family "tRNA". Rfam says of the family: Transfer RNA (tRNA) molecules are approximately 80 nucleotides in length. Their secondary structure includes four short double-helical elements and three loops (D, anti-codon, and T loops). Further hydrogen bonds mediate the characteristic L-shaped molecular structure. tRNAs have two regions of fundamental functional importance: the anti-codon, which is responsible for specific mRNA codon recognition, and the 3' end, to which the tRNAs corresponding amino acid is attached (by aminoacyl-tRNA synthetases). tRNAs cope with the degeneracy of the genetic code in two manners: having more than one tRNA (with a specific anti-codon) for a particular amino acid; and 'wobble' base-pairing, i.e. permitting non-standard base-pairing at the 3rd anti-codon position. Lineage: Bacteria; Bacillati; Bacillota; Clostridia. The record is from RNAcentral.
UCCUCGAUAGCUCAGUCGGCAGAGCGCAUGACUGUUAAUCAUGAUGUCACUGGUUCGAGCCCAGUUCGGGGAGCCA